GUCCCUAUAGCGCAAUGGAUAGCGCGUUGGACUUCUAAUCCAAUGGGGACUUCUAAUCCAGUGGGUUCGAAUCCCUUCUGGGAUC
This is a non-coding RNA of Trichonephila inaurata madagascariensis, 85 nucleotides long. The record is from the annotation of a GenBank genome assembly. NCBI's taxonomy places the organism in Eukaryota, Metazoa, Arthropoda, Arachnida, Araneae, Nephilidae.